CGACUGUAAAGAAAUUCAAAAAAAAAAAGUUCUAAAUUUUAUAUUGGUAAUAAUAAAAUUUGAUUUUGAUUCAGUUUACACUGGAAUGACUGGAUGAAUAAGAAAGAUGGCCAAGGUGUAGAUAAUGUGAAUUGUGAGAUAUGACCUGUAAUAUCAUCUGCUUUAUUUCUCGAAACUGGCAGUUUAAACAGUGGCAUCUAAUUCUUAAUCCUAUUUUAUAAUUUAAUUGAGCCUUCUUACUUUUUUGUCAUUAGCUUCAUCAAUGUGUUGUGAUUCUUUGCCUAUAGAACUUUAUCAAAGAGAGAAUCUCUCUGAGUUUAAUCAAGGACAUGAGUGGAGAAUAUUUCUGUACCAGGUAACGCUCAAGGAUAUAAGCGAAAAUGUUGACUUUUAAAUACCUCAUUGAAACAUUAUUACACUAUUAGAGACCGAAUUGUAGAUAAAAAAGUAUAAAACAGAGAUAUCGUAUACUACUAGAACCCUAAAUUGAAAAAUUUUGAAAUUGUACAUACCAAGAAAUUAUGGUAGAGGAAAGCUCUAGGCUCCCAAGAUAAAAUCUCCGUCCACUUUCUUUUCUCUUCCAAUUCUUCAUGUCUACACACACAAAAAAAAAAAAAUCAAACCUUUUACCUCUCAAAAAUCCACCAUGUCAAAUUCAGCAAAUCUCUCCCUUUUCUCAUACGCACUUUUGAGUGGGAAGCUUGAUCUCGAUGUGUUGUAUAUCACCAGGAGAAUCAGAUGAUAUAGGAAUGGAGAAGAUUCCCAAAGAGAGAAGAAUGAGAAGAGACAUCGACAACAUUAACAAAAUCCCGAGUACUACUGUCCAUGGCGACGAAGAUCUUCUUCGAAGGAUUCCUCGCACAUUCCGUCCCUUGUGCAAAGGUAAUGAACCUUCCAUUUCCCCUCCUCCUCCUUCGCCGAUCUUGCCUCUCCGGCUGUCAGAGAUUGAGUCUUUUAGUCUUAUUAACCCUUCUGUCGUUCCGCCGGCAAAGAAAAAUUGUUAUCUUGACCUUUCCCACUUGGGAGGUUUAGUCUUUUUACUUUUUAGGGAUCUAAACAAAAAACAAGGGGCGUUUACGCAAGAAACGCGCUAAUCUACUGGUCAAUUUAUACGAUUACCCCCUAUAUUUUUUCUUCAAAAUAACCACCUGCAAAUUAAAAAACUUUUAUUCGAAUCCUUCAUGUUUUGAUUAACUUUUUUUUUCGAAUUAAAACUAUUUGGUAAUAUAUAGAUUUCAAAACAAAAAAUAAGGGAGUGAUCACAUGCGAUCUCCUUCACACCCUCCGCGUUGAUCCGGCCACGUGAUCUUACGAUCGUUUAGACCUCCAACAACCUUUGGAGACUGACUCGAUAUUUUCUAUAACGAUUUAUGCCUCAUCGGUCUUACGUAGUUGUCCUUGGACAGUGGGGAGUGUAAAAACCUUGGUGUGCUCCAAACAUCUUUUCCUCUUCCUAGGGAAAACUCUGUUAUUGCCUUUCGGUCCACUACUCGUAAGUGAUUCUUCAUGUCGCUAAUUUCUACUGUAAAAGUGAGACCAUCUCCUAGGAGGUAGGUCUCUCUAUGGAUAUGAUUUUUUGGAUCAUUCUAUUAACGCACUUAACCUUCUGUGCUUUUUUGGGGAGUCAGAAUUCUAUUUGAAUUCUAACCCACCAUUAGCUUAAAUAUUGCGGUUCUUUUAAUACAAGUUCCUAUCGAAUUUAAAUUACAGAUAUAUCGUUUUAAUAGUAGAUAGCUCAACUUGGGGCCGAUUGGGGGCUUCUAGCCUAUAUUUUCACUAGUCGUUGCUCUUGGGUCGUUCCUCUAGCCUUGUGCCUGUUCGCCAUGAAUGUGGUUGCGGUAUCCUGUAUUAUCCGUCUUCCUAUCUCUUGCGGCCAUGUUCGUUUGUCUUCGUGUACUCUCUUGUUUCUUUCAGUUCAGAUCCCCCAUACUGCCGCUGCCGUGUAUGCUCAUGUUAGACCCCAACAUGGCGUGUUCUUUGUCCUUGCGUGCGCUUCUGUCAUUACCUGUUUUAAAGAGACCCCAACAUGGCGUGUUCUUUGUCCUUGCGUGCGCUUCUGCCAUUACCUGUUUUAAAGAGACCCCAACGUCUUGAUUAACUCGUUAAAACAAUAUCGCAUGUUUUUUCCAAAUGUAGGUUAGCGAGAUGAAUGUUAAACGAGGGAUUUGAUGCAGCGGGUGGAUUGGUGAAUACACAAGACAUUGGAGAUUUUGAAGCCAUGACUUAUAAAAUUGAGAAAAUUACUCCUGGAUUAAAGUACUGAGGAUUGCAUUGGACAAUGCUUGGUUUCAUACUGUUUCACAUAUUGAAAGAGUAAAACCAACGUCACCAUGGAGGAAUCUCAACCUCGCAAGAAAUGAUUAUAAGGGAAUGCAUUAGAUCGACGGAAAUCAGUUUCAAAGAAAAAAAAUUCAAAAAACCACAUAAGAGAAACACGGAAGUGAAGGCAUUGCACCAAUGGGAUGCUCUUCAAUUGCUGAUCCACAACAGGGUAGAAGAAAAAUGUUAAGAUUGAUUAACUAUCGAGCAAACCCGUCUCAUUAGAUAGAGAGUAAAUAAAAAAUAAGUAUAACUAUAUUUAAAUCAAUUAUUUUUGUGUGCUGAACUUCUGUAAACCUUAAUUUUUUUCUCUUAAUAUAUUAAACAACUUAUUCAAAAAAAAAAGAUUAAGUCUCGCUGUGUACUGUAUUUAAAUUUUCACUACUGAUUGUACUUGGUGAUACCAAGAAUUUUAAGGCACAAGGAGCAUCCGAUAGAUCCAACUACCCAAAUAGAAGUGAAGAUAGAACAUAUAUUAGAGCAGAGGAAAUGUAGCCCACCCCUUCCACAACUUCAUAAACAAAUGGACACCAACCACAAAUGACAUAGGGGACUUAAGAAGACUUUAAUUUAUCCAUCCCCCUGAUAUCAGAGAUAGAUCUGAAUACACUCUACUCCGACGAGAUAUGAUUGAUAUCCCAGAAUUUGGCGAGAAACUCACAGGCGGACCAAGAGAUUAAAAUUUAGUUCCUAUUAUAACUUCAAUUUGAUUCUAACUUCCUUGUCAAUUAUAACAUGUAACAUGUCAAUUUAGAUACUUUAAUAAUGAUGGAUAUCUAGUAUCUACACAAGUAAUCUCAAAAAAUUAAUCACCCAAUAUACCACUAGAUGAAACAAAAUGGGUUUGAUCUAAUGUGGUUGAUCGAUCUCCGCCCACAAUGAUUAGUCUGUGGUAUCAACAGCCAUUACCUAUAAUUUGCUUUUCACUCAAUAAAAACAGCAAUGUGGCCUUUUGGGGUUCAAAUUCAUUCAUCAAAUCUUUUGAUCAUUUACUAGUAUUUACUAUAUUAAUAAUUCAAUUGCCAAACCCAUUGUUUUUCCUUAUUCAUAAUAUUAUUACUAUUAUAAUACUCUUUGGUUAACUCCACAAACCUUCAUUUCUUAGUCGCUCCAAACCUUCACAUCACUUUCUGUUUUUGAAUUAACCUAAAAGAGAAACAAUGAUUGAAAAUGAGUAAUAAAUUAAUUUUGUCUUUUGAUAUUUUGAAGAAUAAACUAAAGUAUAAUUAAAUUGUAAUCAAACAUUUAAACUUUCAUUUAUUGUUAUGGUUCCAUGUUUGAUUGUCUCUUUCAGUUUAAAAUAUCCCGUUUGCGAUAACGUGUUGAAUGUCAUUACUGAAGUUGUUUACAAAAAGAGAGUUCCAUAGGCAAACUUAAGCAUACAACCACACACCAUGUAUUAUUCUGAUUAAGAAUUAUAUAACUAUAGGAUGGAUAUCUUGUUUUUCAUUUUUAAGUCCGUAAGAUUCUAGAUGCAUCUAGAUAGUUUAUCAAAACAAUGGUUAUCUUAGAAAUCAGCAUCAAUCUUUUAUCACUGUUUUGUUGUAUAGAGUAAUAGAACAUCACAAACAUUUCUUACUUGUCUUUAGUGGUAAUCGCUAACAUGCAGCCAUUUUGUAGAAGACCAUUUAUUCCCUUUAAUAACAGGGCAUCCCCCUGCAAAGAAAAUAGAAAACGUCACUACCAAAAUACAAAAUACACACGCAUUAAUUUAAAAACAUAUUUACCUGAAAUGCUAAUGGACUUCAGGAUAAAUAGUAAGAAAGAGGGGAAACUGAUAUAAUUUUAUACUAUAAAAUUUUAUUGAAUCUGCAAGAAACUCACCAUGCAAACUUAAAGGGUCAAGUGUGGCGUCGGGCUUCAUACUCCAGAAAAGUAAGGCAUCACCCAUUUUAGGUUUUACAGCUAGACCUCUCUUUCCACACUCUGACAGCUCGUUGUAAUAAGGUAAUGAGCUGCUGUUCACUUUGGCAUUAGGGAAUAUUGUCUCACCACCUUCUUCAACAUCGGAACUGCAUUAGAUGCAAAUUAUUACAAAAAAAAGCUUCAAUUGCCUGCUUGUUUAUGAUGUGAUAUUGUGAUGUGAAUCCGUACAUACAGGUACAUUAGCACAGUUGCCAUUCUUUGACCCCCAUUCUUGGUAUUAAAUUCAUCUACAAAGUAGUCGAAGUGAGGUUCGUAUUUCUGACCAACUUCAUAGUGAAGAACUUGAAGACCCUCACCAUGUUCUGUCAAAAUGAAGAUUAUUAGUGCAGAGAUAAUGAGUGAUUUUCCAUAUCUGUAAUUAUGUUAGAAAUUAAUAGAUAUAGUAAAUAUUUGAUGAGCAAAGUUGCGUUUUUCCAUUGUUAUCAUUUGUAUUUAUAUACAUCUCAUAUUACAUUUGAUAUUGUGGAUGAGUAGUUGUUUCCAUCCUACUUUGGCUAGUAACUAAGGUUUGAUUAAUCUCUUAUCAUUAUAAUAGAUAUUUCUAAUAUUUAAUAUUCUUAUAAUAGAUAAUUAGAUAUAUUUAAUAUGUCCCUUCAAAUUCACUGAUCUUCUGAGAUAACUUUGAUUCUUUAAUUCUGAAAUGGUCUUGGCAUGAGUGCCUUGGUUAAUAUAUCAGAUCUUUAAUAGAUAUUCAAUAUAUGAAUUAUUUUCAAAAAAAAAAUCUUUAGUAGGAAUAACCUGUUGUAGUUUAUCAUUCCAUCGAUAAGAUUCAUAUGAUACCUAUAACCUUCAUUAGAUAUCUCGGGUGCAAAAUCCCACAUGUCGGCAAAGAUAACUUCCAUUGGAUAUUUAUAGACAAUAGAACACGAUGAAUGUUGACUUAGCUAUCAAACAUGGUUCACAGGACACAACCAACUCAUGAGCAGUUUAUAUGGGAUGCGAGGAGAUAUAGUAGUUGGGCAAAGAUGGCUCUCCCAAUGAUGGAAGGUGGGAUCGGGGUUAGGGAUUUUUUUUGCAACUAAUGCAACAACAGUGGUGAAAAGAGUAGAAAAAUGUGGAGCCCAAACACCUCUAUCUAGCUGAUUGGAUCAAACUUAGAUAUAUAAAAGGUAGAGGACUAGGGGAAAUUGAGAUUAGACCCACCCUAGAUGCCCAUAUGUGGAAAACUAUAAUAGCCAAAAGAGAUUUAUUAGAUAAGUGCAUCAACUGCCUGAGCAACUAUAGGAUAAUUCAAAUAGUUUAUAAUAUUCUACUUGUAAAUACAAGUUUAUAAAAGUAAGUGCCUGUGAUUUAAAUUUUAAACAUCUUCAUAAUAAAAAACUUCAAUAAAAUAACUUCAAAAACUUCAUCUAAAAAACACCUUAAGAAAAUGAAAUUUCUAUCUAAAUCAAACUUCUGGUCAGAAAAAGCAGUAAACCGGAGCUCGCCUGAUGUCGCCAGAAUUUAAGUUUGAAGGUCCGAGCAGGAAGGAUGAGGGUUGGUCGAUGGGAGAGGACUGAAUGGUGGAAGGAGGAGAAAAAAGCGAUAUUGGGAGCCCUGAUCUGUUUUAAAAACAGAUUUUAAAAAGUUUUAUCCGGCUAGAGCAUAGCCCUGCCAGGCCGCUAUAGCGACGCUAUUUGAAAGUAUGAGCUUGAUAUCUAAUCAUCUAAUAUCGUCUUUUCAGAUGUAAAUAAAUAGCAAACUUCGUUCGGAGGUUUGACAAAAAAUGAGAUUUUCGAACCAAUCAACUAAACAUAUUAUAUUAUGUUUAAAGAUAUAUAGGUCUUUAAGAUGAACUAAAAAUAUCGAGCAUUAAGCAUAUUUGUGAACCAAAUAUACAUAUAGGUAUUGAAGAUGAAGAAAUUAAACAUAUUAUAAAUAAGAUUCAAAAAGUGAGGAAAUGAUUUUUUUAAUAAUUUAUGGUACAAAUAUACGGAAGAGCCUAAAACCAUUACACAUAAAAUUGAACUUAUAUUAUCCACGAAAUAAUACUUAUGAUCUCAUGUACCUUUUGGUAUAAACGUAUAAUCAGCCAGCCUUUUCUCUAUGGCAGUGAUGACUUCAUCACUUCCCCUCUGAAGAAACAUGCCUGAGCUAGUACGGACCCUGCUUUCAAUGUGCUAAUUAUAAGGUUAAAGCAUUGGUAAGAAAUCAGGAUAUAUAAAUAGGAUCAAGGAAAACACAAACUUGCUGCCAGUGCUCUUGCCCGUCGUGCUAUCAACAACAGUCGACAUUUUCAUACGGGGCUUAGCUAAUUCAAUUAGAUGAUUGCAUUCCUCUUUCGACUGUAAAGAAAUUCAAAAAAAAAAAGUUCUAAAUUUUAUAUUGGUAAUAAUAAAAUUUGAUUUUGAUUCAGUUUACACUGGAAUGACUGGAUGAAUAAGAAAGAUGGCCAAGGUGUAGAUAAUGUGAAUUGUGAGAUAUGACCUGUAAUAUCAUCUGCUUUAUUUCUCGAAACUGGCAGUUUAAACAGUGGCAUCUAAUUCUUAAUCCUAUUUUAUAAUUUAAUUGAGCCUUCUUACUUUUUUGUCAUUAGCUUCAUCAAUGUGUUGUGAUUCUUUGCCUAUAGAACUUUAUCAAAGAGAGAAUCUCUCUGAGUUUAAUCAAGGACAUGAGUGGAGAAUAUUUCUGUACCAGGUAACGCUCAAGGAUAUAAGCGAAAAUGUUGACUUUUAAAUACCUCAUUGAAACAUUAUUACACUAUUAGAGACCGAAUUGUAGAUAAAAAAGUAUAAAACAGAGAUAUCGUAUACUACUA
This 6982-nucleotide long non-coding RNA is filed under the name Zostera marina. RNAcentral's name for it is "long non-coding RNA (ZMAR_LNC001440)". The record is from RNAcentral. Lineage: Eukaryota; Viridiplantae; Streptophyta; Magnoliopsida; Alismatales; Zosteraceae.